RNAcentral lists this transfer RNA (64 nucleotides) under Megasoma mars. RNAcentral describes it as "tRNA-Gly". The record is from RNAcentral. Lineage: Eukaryota; Metazoa; Arthropoda; Insecta; Coleoptera; Scarabaeidae. RNAcentral also lists the same sequence under 1 other name.
AUUCAUAUAGUAUACAAAUUAUAUUUGACUUCCAAUCAAAAGAGCUAGAAAACUAGUAUGAAUA